GGGUUGUGAGGUUAAGCGACUAAGCGUACACGGUGGAUGCCCUGGCAGUCAGAGGCGAUGAAGGACGUGCUAAUCUGCGAUAAGCGUCGGUAAGGUGAUAUGAACCGUUAUAACCGGCGAUUUCCGAAUGGGGAAACCCAGUGUGUUUCGACACACUAUCAUUAACUGAAUCCAUAGGUUAAUGAGGCGAACCGGGGGAACUGAAACAUCUAAGUACCCCGAGGAAAAGAAAUCAACCGAGAUUCCCCCAGUAGCGGCGAGCGAACGGGGAGCAGCCCAGAGCCUGAAUCAGUGUGUGUGUUAGUGGAAGCGUCUGGAAAGGCGCGCGAUACAGGGUGACAGCCCCGUACACAAAAAUGCACAUGCUGUGAGCUCGAUGAGUAGGGCGGGACACGUGGUAUCCUGUCUGAAUAUGGGGGGACCAUCCUCCAAGGCUAAAUACUCCUGACUGACCGAUAGUGAACCAGUACCGUGAGGGAAAGGCGAAAAGAACCCCGGCGAGGGGAGUGAAAAAGAACCUGAAACCGUGUACGUACAAGCAGUGGGAGCACGCUUAGGCGUGUGACUGCGUACCUUUUGUAUAAUGGGUCAGCGACUUAUAUUCUGUAGCAAGGUUAACCGAAUAGGGGAGCCGAAGGGAAACCGAGUCUUAACUGGGCGUUAAGUUGCAGGGUAUAGACCCGAAACCCGGUGAUCUAGCCAUGGGCAGGUUGAAGGUUGGGUAACACUAACUGGAGGACCGAACCGACUAAUGUUGAAAAAUUAGCGGAUGACUUGUGGCUGGGGGUGAAAGGCCAAUCAAACCGGGAGAUAGCUGGUUCUCCCCGAAAGCUAUUUAGGUAGCGCCUCGUGAAUUCAUCUCCGGGGGUAGAGCACUGUUUCGGCAAGGGGGUCAUCCCGACUUACCAACCCGAUGCAAACUGCGAAUACCGGAGAAUGUUAUCACGGGAGACACACGGCGGGUGCUAACGUCCGUCGUGAAGAGGGAAACAACCCAGACCGCCAGCUAAGGUCCCAAAGUCAUGGUUAAGUGGGAAACGAUGUGGGAAGGCCCAGACAGCCAGGAUGUUGGCUUAGAAGCAGCCAUCAUUUAAAGAAAGCGUAAUAGCUCACUGGUCGAGUCGGCCUGCGCGGAAGAUGUAACGGGGCUAAACCAUGCACCGAAGCUGCGGCAGCGACGCUGAUGCGUUGUUGGGUAGGGGAGCGUUCUGUAAGCCUGCGAAGGUGUGCUGUGAGGCAUGCUGGAGGUAUCAGAAGUGCGAAUGCUGACAUAAGUAACGAUAAAGCGGGUGAAAAGCCCGCUCGCCGGAAGACCAAGGGUUCCUGUCCAACGUUAAUCGGGGCAGGGUGAGUCGACCCCUAAGGCGAGGCCGAAAGGCGUAGUCGAUGGGAAACAGGUUAAUAUUCCUGUACUUGGUGUUACUGCGAAGGGGGGACGGAGAAGGCUAUGUUGGCCGGGCGACGGUUGUCCCGGUUUAAGCGUGUAGGCUGGUUUUCCAGGCAAAUCCGGAAAAUCAAGGCUGAGGCGUGAUGACGAGGCACUACGGUGCUGAAGCAACAAAUGCCCUGCUUCCAGGAAAAGCCUCUAAGCAUCAGGUAACAUCAAAUCGUACCCCAAACCGACACAGGUGGUCAGGUAGAGAAUACCAAGGCGCUUGAGAGAACUCGGGUGAAGGAACUAGGCAAAAUGGUGCCGUAACUUCGGGAGAAGGCACGCUGAUAUGUAGGUGAAGUCCCUCGCGGAUGGAGCUGAAAUCAGUCGAAGAUACCAGCUGGCUGCAACUGUUUAUUAAAAACACAGCACUGUGCAAACACGAAAGUGGACGUAUACGGUGUGACGCCUGCCCGGUGCCGGAAGGUUAAUUGAUGGGGUUAGCCGCAAGGCGAAGCUCUUGAUCGAAGCCCCGGUAAACGGCGGCCGUAACUAUAACGGUCCUAAGGUAGCGAAAUUCCUUGUCGGGUAAGUUCCGACCUGCACGAAUGGCGUAAUGAUGGCCAGGCUGUCUCCACCCGAGACUCAGUGAAAUUGAACUCGCUGUGAAGAUGCAGUGUACCCGCGGCAAGACGGAAAGACCCCGUGAACCUUUACUAUAGCUUGACACUGAACAUUGAGCCUUGAUGUGUAGGAUAGGUGGGAGGCUUUGAAGUGUGGACGCCAGUCUGCAUGGAGCCGACCUUGAAAUACCACCCUUUAAUGUUUGAUGUUCUAACGUGGACCCGUGAUCCGGGUUGCGGACAGUGUCUGGUGGGUAGUUUGACUGGGGCGGUCUCCUCCUAAAGAGUAACGGAGGAGCACGAAGGUUGGCUAAUCCUGGUCGGACAUCAGGAGGUUAGUGCAAUGGCAUAAGCCAGCUUGACUGCGAGCGUGACGGCGCGAGCAGGUGCGAAAGCAGGUCAUAGUGAUCCGGUGGUUCUGAAUGGAAGGGCCAUCGCUCAACGGAUAAAAGGUACUCCGGGGAUAACAGGCUGAUACCGCCCAAGAGUUCAUAUCGACGGCGGUGUUUGGCACCUCGAUGUCGGCUCAUCACAUCCUGGGGCUGAAGUAGGUCCCAAGGGUAUGGCUGUUCGCCAUUUAAAGUGGUACGCGAGCUGGGUUUAGAACGUCGUGAGACAGUUCGGUCCCUAUCUGCCGUGGGCGCUGGAGAACUGAGGGGGGCUGCUCCUAGUACGAGAGGACCGGAGUGGACGCAUCACUGGUGUUCGGGUUGUCAUGCCAAUGGCACUGCCCGGUAGCUAAAUGCGGAAGAGAUAAGUGCUGAAAGCAUCUAAGCACGAAACUUGCCCCGAGAUGAGUUCUCCCUGACUCCUUGAGAGUCCUGAAGGAACGUUGAAGACGACGACGUUGAUAGGCCGGGUGUGUAAGCGCAGCGAUGCGUUGAGCUAACCGGUACUAAUGAACCGUGAGGCUUAACCUUACAACGCCGAAGCUGUU
Molecule: ribosomal RNA, 2932 nt
Filed under: Escherichia coli
Lineage: Bacteria; Pseudomonadati; Pseudomonadota; Gammaproteobacteria; Enterobacterales; Enterobacteriaceae
Description: bacterial LSU rRNA
Rfam family: Bacterial large subunit ribosomal RNA
Source: RNAcentral